GCGUAACGCGUAUACAAUCUACCUUUUACAGGGGAUAGCCCAGAGAAAUUUGGAUUAAUACCCCAUGGCAUAUAUUUAUGGCAUCAUAUAUAUAUUAAAGAUUCAUCGGUAAGAGAUGAGUAUGCGUUCUAUUAGCUAGUAGGUGCGGUAACGGCGCACCUAGGCUACGAUAGAUAGGGGCCCUGAGAGGGGGAUCCCCCACACUGGUACUGAGACACGGACCAG
Molecule: ribosomal RNA, 225 nt
Filed under: uncultured bacterium
Lineage: Bacteria
Description: partial 16S ribosomal RNA
Rfam family: Bacterial small subunit ribosomal RNA
Source: RNAcentral